RNAcentral lists this ribosomal RNA (120 nucleotides) under Claviceps purpurea 20.1. Lineage: Eukaryota; Fungi; Ascomycota; Sordariomycetes; Hypocreales; Clavicipitaceae. The record is from RNAcentral.
ACAUACGACCACAAACGUUAGCAGAAAUCAGUAUCCCGUCCGAUCUCCCUCGACAAUUUAACGAGCGCUGGAUUAGUUGUUGGGUCGGUGACGACUAGCGAAUACCUGGUGUUGUAUGUC